This is a long non-coding RNA of Zeugodacus cucurbitae (melon fly), 776 nucleotides long. RefSeq lists it as uncharacterized. The record is from RefSeq and is a predicted model, not a curated record. The transcript has 3 exons. Lineage: Eukaryota; Metazoa; Arthropoda; Insecta; Diptera; Tephritidae.
AUUUAACUUUAAAAAGUUUAUUUGACUAUUAAGCUUUUCUACUCGUCGUUAUAUUUGAAUUCAAAAGUUAAUUUUUGUGCACUUAAGCGCGCACAAGCACUUACCCCAUUGUUACGAUUAUAGAUUUGACGUAUAGCCUUUGGUACUGAUGAAUUUGAAGCUUGUUGCCAUGUUUUAAUUGUGUCCAACGGAUGGCCGAUGAGUACACCACAUGCCCCUAUUGGAGGAGAGUAUGGAUUUCAUAUACUUUAGUUCAUAUCUAUUUGUGUUCAACUAUGGUUAUUGUAAAGAACUAACGGUUUAUUGACCUCUACCAAACGUAAACUUGACUUUGUGGUAGUAGCUUCAUUCGUAUAUUCGAUAACUUCCGGGUCCAAACAAAGACUCGACCGCGUCCGUCGGAUGUUUGAAAGUGCAUCAACACCAAUUUUUAGCUGAUUAUACAACUUUAGAAAUUACGUUUAAUGUGGAAUUCAAGCUAUGACAGGUUAGGUUAACACAAAUUUCAAAUAUGCACAAUUUGUGAAAUUCUACAAAUGACAAUACUAGACUCUAGACAUUAGUGAGACUACCUACAGUGGCCAUAUAAUAAAACAGAAAGGAAUCCGCAUUAAAUUAGCACGAACUGUUCGUACUAUAAAAUUCCACUUCAAUUCUCAACACCUGUUGGAAAAAAGAGGAAAAAACUAAUUUGUUUAUGCGACGCGGCCACAUGUUAAUCAACAGAUGUAAGUGGGAUGAAUAUGUUCACACACAUACAUAUCUACAUAUGUAUG